UGUGUUGCAAAUUUAUGGUUUUGAAUUGAAUGGCUUAUGACAAUAAAUGAGCAUGAAUGGCUAAACUGAUUUUGGUGUUAUAAUUAUUUAUACUGUGUAUUCAGCCUUGAGAGGCUAGGUUGCGAUAAAUUGCCAUGUCAUGCUAGAAUGAAUUUUAUUGAUUGGUGGAUUAUAUAUUAAUUAUUUACUGCAGAGGGGGUUCCGUGGACCAGCCUAUUAGAGGGGCACGGUAAACUCCAUUAUAUUAUUACCUCGAACGGAGAGGCGCGUAGGGUAUCUCCUGGGGUAAAGCUUAGGGUUCACUUCAUGCCAAACCACCACGUGAAGGGGAACUCAGCCAACGCCAAGGAACGGGUGUAUUUUUCUCAAACUAAAAAUAUAUUUUAAGUGUAUACAAAA
This 399-nucleotide long non-coding RNA is filed under the name Theobroma cacao (cacao). RNAcentral's name for it is "long non-coding RNA (TCAC_LNC006357)". The record is from RNAcentral. Lineage: Eukaryota; Viridiplantae; Streptophyta; Magnoliopsida; Malvales; Malvaceae.